AUGAUCUGUCUCAAGUUUCUCCCACUGUUUUUAGACGGGGUAUUGAUUUGGGCUUUGUCCUUCCUUCAGGCACAGCUAUCGGUCACUGAGUGCCCGGAGACUGACAGUCUGCUGAAGUGGGACCGUACGAACCACAGUGAAGCCAUGCACACAGGAGCAGCUCAGCAUGAAGGAGGUGGUCAGACGAAAGCCCUCAGGUGUGGGGGGGGGGGGAGGGGCGGCCUGUUGAAAGGUGCGGCCCCCCCAGUUCUGUCUCUGGCAGGGGGGGUGCUGUUGGUGGCUGGCUGCCGUGUGACCCCCAGGAGCCAGCUGAUGAAGAAGUGCGGGAAGAGGAGCUGGCUCAGACUCCCACGGGAACAGGACGAAGACUGCAGCUGGGAAUCGAGAAGAACCAGAGACGACCUCAUGUUCUAUGUGGACUAUCUUCUACGUCUCAUGUCUUUAUUGAAUGAUUAUGCAUUAACGUCAUGUAAUUAUUGUCUGACAUCGAAGACACUUGAAGCCUUUUGCUGAUUGCAAGCUGCUUCCACAGACCACCCCCUCUUCCAACAAAUGAAAUUGUUACAGCCUUAAUUUACCAUAAAAUGAGCACUCCCGUUAUAGUGUGCUGUGAAAUCGUAUUUAAUUUCUAUUAACUCUUGGAUUAGACAUGAGACAAAGUCUUUUUAUUUUCUGCAAGGCAAGCUGUAUUCUCCCAUUCAGGCAGAAUCACGUGACCUCUGCAUUUCAAGUACUUGAUUAUUUUAACAUUCUGGCUGCGUGUUAUUCAGUAUCUCUGCCUUUUUGCCACGUGAAAUUAGACUCCGCGCCAGAGAGUUACAGACGCCCGGAGAGAGUGGAUCACUAUCUUGCUGCGGCCGAGUUUACUGUGAGCUUCCACACAAACACACGCCGCCACAUCUUGGCAUUGCUCGGCCUGUUGCAGCCCUGAGGAUAUCAAAUGCUAAUGCGGCGGCCUAUUUGCAUGUACUCGCAUGUAGCCUCCCCGCAAAUGUGCAACACUUUCACAACCGACGCUGGCUUGUUCUCAGCGCGGCAGCAUCCACUUAUGAUAAUUGAGCGAGAUGGACUCGGGAAGAGAGCAGCAUGUGAGAAGAGGACAGAGGGUGAAGACAGACAUUACUAACUUCCCUCCAUUUAUCCAUCAUGCCUCUGUUGAUUUGAUUCCCCUCUAUGCCAUUUUCUGCCAUUAUCACUGAUGGUAUUACGGCUGCCUGUGGUGCUGAGUUACAUUUAGAGGUCAAAACUGUACUUUCCUGUAUUAAAAACAAAUUUCUCUGUCCUGAUUCGCUGGUCAGAGACGGCAUUACCCAAGCCAGAGGCUCCAUUUAGUAUAUUGAAAAAGCUAGCGGCUCAGAGGAUGGAACAUUAGAUAUUGGGAUAGAAACCAUCAUUUGAGAUGAAACAACAGGCCAUAUCCAAAACAGAUCAUUUUUCAGUCUUUAUGUGCUAUUAUGUCUAAAAUAAUGAUUUCUGUGUCUCCUAUAAUGUAAUGAAAGAUAAGUAAUGGUGGUGGAAGCCAUCUGCUUUGUUGGAAUCAAUGAACUGUCAAGAGUGCAAGGGUGGAAAAGAAAGUAAAUGUUGCUGUGCCAUGAUCAAUAAAAGUAGACUUGAAUAUGAGCGAGCCAUGUAUCAGUCUGUGAUGUUUCCUCUUGGCUGGAGCUGCCUUCAAGACAGUCUGCUGUUUGU
RNAcentral lists this long non-coding RNA (1689 nucleotides) under Cottoperca gobio. Its description in RNAcentral is "lncRNA (ENSCGOG00000010017.1)". The record is from RNAcentral. Lineage: Eukaryota; Metazoa; Chordata; Actinopteri; Perciformes; Bovichtidae.